UGAAUUCCAAACCACAAGUAUGGUCAAUAACCGAUUUUCAAUUGGUUAAUCUUUAUGUUUAUUCCGCAUGUUUAGGAAACCACUCUCCCAUUUCCCCAUUUUCUGUUUUGUAGGAGUUAUGACUCCAACGUUGUUAUUCUGAUUUCUAUUUAAAUGAAUGAAAACCCAAAAAGAGGCAAUAUCAAUUGCCCAAAAGAAAUCUCUUGUUCUUAUUUUCUAUGCAACUUCAUUACUCUGUUCUAUUCUAAAGCUUUGGCAAAAACCAUCGCUACCAAUUGGUAUCAGAGCAUUGUGCUCAGUCCAAAAUUUUAUUUUCCUAUUCGUUCAUCUCUAAACCAUUCCACCUAAAAAAGAAAAACACAAAAAAAUUUUGUAGUCUUGACGCAUCUGAGUCAAUGGUUAAUACAAAAAAACAGACUUGAUGAGCUAGAAAAAGGGUUGGGGUUAGUUACUGAUGACCUGCACAAAAUGCAGAAUGGCAUCACUGACAAACUCUGUGGCAUGGAAGCAGCUAGCGACGACAAAUUUAAGAAACUAAGGAAUCGAACAAAUCAUUGGAGGAGCCCAUGCGGAAGCUAAUGGCGUUGAUGUCAAACAACUAGGUGGGCACUUCAAACGCUCCAGUGGAACACCAUCCACCUGCAAUUGCUCCACCAGUGGCUCGAAGAGAGGACGGACGCAGAGACGAAGUGGUGAAUACGCUCUGUCCGUUAAUCUUAAUCGCCACAUAUGACUCGACUGCCCAAGCUUCAACAGAGGAGAUCCUACUGAAUGGCUGACCAAAUUCAAACAAUAUUUCGCUUUCCACGAAAUACGGCGCAGAGAGUUAGGUUUGCAUCAUAUCAUCAUACGGCUGAAGCGAAUGCGUGGUGGCAAGCCACAUAUAAGGCAUUGCGGCUCGAUCCAAAUACCGCAACCUCAGAGACGUUUGAGCAGGAGUUAUGGGUGCGUUUUGGACCAUCAGAGGGUGAAAAUUUUCACGAAGCAUUAUCCAAAAUACGACAAACAGAAACACUCAGGGAUUAUCAAAAGGAGUUUGACCGCUUGAUAAACAAGGUGGAGAAUUGGUCUGAAGACGCUCUUGUUGGGACUUAUCUUGGAGGAUUGAAGGACUCCAUUGCAGAUCACGUUCGUAUGUUUUCUCCUACGUCGUUGAGGUCAGUUAUCAAGCUGGCCAGACUUGGCGACGAACAGCUACAAAAACAGCAAAGGGCUUUCACACCACGAUCACUCACCCCUUCGCAAAAUCACCAAAGUUCAAACAACAAUUCACCAGUUCCAAAGAAGCUGAGUUGGAAGAGAUGAGGCACAAGCGAAGCUUGGGGUUAUGCUUCAGCUGCGAUGAGCGAUAUGUACCGGGCUACAAAUGUAAGACAUCACAACUCUUACUGAUGAUGGGGGAAGAUGUUGAGGAAGACGACGGAGAAGAAAUCUUCCACGAUACAGAUGAACCGGAAAUCACACUCCAAUCUCUCACGGGGUGGGAUUCACCUACGACGAUGCAUGUGGAAGUCUUGAUCAAUCAUCGCUAUCUUAUUGCUCUGAUCGAUAGCAGAGCCACGCACAAUUUCAUCAGCGACAAGGCCACCAAUCGUUUGAACCUCAAAUUGUCACCAACAACACCAUUUCACGUCCGUAUUGCCGACGGACAUCCCCUCUGGUGUAGAGGUGCUUAUCAAAACACGACAAUGGCUGCCGGGGGAGUGGCUUUCACCGUCGAUCUCUAUACGCUACCAUUAUCGGGACUUGACAUCG
Molecule: long non-coding RNA, 1755 nt
Filed under: Eutrema salsugineum
Lineage: Eukaryota; Viridiplantae; Streptophyta; Magnoliopsida; Brassicales; Brassicaceae
Description: long non-coding RNA (ESAL_LNC000373)
Source: RNAcentral